GGGGGGGGGGGGGGGGAAACAGGCAGGUCGAGCGGUAACAGAGAGUAGCUUGCUAGUGCGGUGACGAGCGGCGGAGGGGUGAGUAGGGCGUGGGAACGUGCCGUGAGGUGGGGGACAACAGGUGGAAACGAGUGCUAAUAGCGCAUAGUGUCUAGGGACCAAGGGGGGCUUCGGCUCUCGCCUUUAGAUUGGCCCAAGUGGGAUUAGCUAGUUGGUGAGGUAAUGGCUCACCAGGGCGACGAUCCCUAGCUGGUUUGAGAGGAUGAUCACCCACACUGGGACUGAUACACGGCCCAGACUCCUACGGGAGGCAGCAGUGGGGAAUAUUGCACAAUGGGCGCAAGCCUGAUGCACCCAUGCCGCGUGUGUGAAGAAGGCCUUCGGGUUGUAAAGCACUUUCAGUCAAGAGGAAAGGUUAGUAGUUAAUACCUGCUAUCUGUGACGUUACUGACAGAAAAAGCACCGGCUAACUCCGUGCCAGCACCCGCGAUAAUACAGAGGGUGCGAGCGUUAAUCAGAAUUACUGCGCGUAAAGCGUACGCACGCGGUUUGUUAAGCGAUAUGUGAAACCCCCGGUCUCAACCUGAGAACUGCAUUUCAAACUGGCAAACUAGAGUGUGAUAGAGGGUGAUAAAAUUUCAUGUGUAGCGGUGAAAUGCAUAGAGAUCUGAAAGAAUACCGAUGGCGAAGGCAGCCACCUGUGUCAACACUCACGCUCAUGUACGAAAGCGUGGGGAGCAGACAAUAUUAGAUACCCUGAUAGUCCACGCCAUAAACUAUGUCUACUAAAAUCUCGGAAGCUCGGUUCUGUUUUUCAACCUAACACAUUAAGUACACCCCCUGGAGAAUACAACCGCAAUCUAAGGCUCGGAUGGGUUGACGCGCCCCGCACAAACAGUGGAGCGUGUGGUUAAUUCCAUCCACCCGAAAAACAUACCUCGCUUCACAUAAAAGAGGUAGCAGAGAUGUGUUGUGCCGUCGGAACUCAGAGACGAGG
Molecule: ribosomal RNA, 997 nt
Filed under: Pseudoalteromonas issachenkonii
Lineage: Bacteria; Pseudomonadati; Pseudomonadota; Gammaproteobacteria; Alteromonadales; Pseudoalteromonadaceae
Description: partial 16S ribosomal RNA
Rfam family: Bacterial small subunit ribosomal RNA
Source: RNAcentral